Molecule: ribosomal RNA, 452 nt
Filed under: uncultured bacterium
Lineage: Bacteria
Description: bacterial SSU rRNA
Rfam family: Bacterial small subunit ribosomal RNA
Source: RNAcentral
GACGAACGCUGGCGGCGUGCCUAACACAUGCAAGUCGAACGGGGUAAAUUGCUUCGGUGAUUUACUUAGUGGCGAACGGGUGAGUAACGCGUGAGAAACCUGCCUCUCAGUGGGGGACAACAGUUGGAACGACUGCUAAUACCGCAUAACAUAUUGAAAUCGCAUGGUUUUAAUAUCAAAGAUUUAUCGCUCAAGGAUGGGCUCGCGGCCGAUUAGGUAGUUGGUGAGGUAACGGCUCACCAAGCCGACGAUCGGUAGCCGAACUGAGAGGUUGAUCGGCCGCCAUUGGGGACUGAGACACGGCCCAGACUCCUACGGGAGGCAGCAGUGGGGGGAGUAUUGCACAAUGGGGGGAAACCCGUCGAUGCAGCAACGCCGCGUGAGGGAAGACGGUCUUCGGAUUGUAAACCUAAGUUGUCAGGGACGAAACACGACGGUACCUGAAGAGAAAG